RNAcentral lists this ribosomal RNA (253 nucleotides) under uncultured bacterium. Its description in RNAcentral is "partial 16S ribosomal RNA". It matches the Rfam family "Bacterial small subunit ribosomal RNA", at positions 524 to 776 of the family's 1533-position model. The record is from RNAcentral.
UACGUAGGGGGCAAGCGUUGUCCGGAUUUAUUGGGCGUAAAGAGCGUGUAGGCGGCCAUGUAGGUCCGUUGUGAAAACUCGAGGCUCAACCUCGAGACGCCGAUGGAAACCAUGUGGCUAGAGUCCGGAAGAGGAGAGUGGAAUUCCUGGUGUAGCGGUGGAAUGCGCAGAUAUCAGGAGGAACACCAAUAGCGAAGGCAGCUCGCUGGGACGGUAUUGACGCUGAGGCGCGAAAGCGUGGGGAGCAAACAGG